GGAUAUGCCUCGGCUCGAUUCGACCUUGCCUAGCUAAUGCAACAAUUAGGCUAAGCUUGAUCAGAACAAUUAGGCUCCAGCUAUAACAAUACUACAGUAGUAUGUUCAUGCGGGAAUUGCGUAUACUCGAGCUUAUGAUCUGUGAAAUUCGUAUAUGUUCUGUUAUUUGACCUUGAGCUUUGAAUUGAAUGAGCUGAACUCAAGUGAUCUCGGUUCAUGCUCAAGCCACAUCAUAUAUGCUUUGCUUGGGCUCCGCUUAAGCUUGGCUCAACUUGGUUGAGGAGUAGUAAAUAAAUAUUUAACCGACGUGCGCCUGGACAAUAUAUCCUUUUGAAAAUAGAUUUCUAGGAAAUUUUUAUGCACUAGAAGGAUGAUAUGGCAAUAAAAAUGAUGAGCACAGCUUUCACUCUCUUGCACCAUGAUCCAGUGCAAAGCCCAUAUAUCCUUUGGCGCUUCUAACCAAAUGAUGCUGGACUUUGUAAGAAUGUGUUUAUAUUUUUUUGUACAAAUCCCUUUUAUGGUUAGUUAUGUUUGGUUUCACUACCUGCUCCACCACGCUAUAUACGGAUAAUGUCUGCGUUAGAUACUGUGAGAUAAAUAAUGAGCUCAAUCAUGCCAUUUUCUCUUAUUUUUAAAGUGAUUGCUUUUCUUGCUUCUUUUUUUUUCUUUUUUGGUUUGACUCUGAUAAGUUUUACUUACUUCUAGAUGUUCCAUAUAGCAGGUUCUUCUGGUACAGUACUUCGGUGUUGCAGUGCACGUCUUCUACAUGAAUUUGAUGAGCAACAUUGUGCUAGAUAGUCAUAAGGGGGUGUUUGGUUGUUUAGUUCGGACUAAAGUUCCUGUCCCAUCGAAUAUUUAGAUGCUAAUUAGAAGUAUUAAAUAUAGACUAAUUACAGAACCAAUUGCACAGAUGGAGGCUAAUUUGCGAGACGAAUCUACUAAGCCUAAUUAGUCCGUGAUUUGACAAUGUAAUGCUACAAUAAACAUGUUCUAAUCAUGAAUUAAUUAGGCUUAAUAAAUUCAUCUCACGAAUUAACCUCUAAUUAGUUUUAUAAUUAACUCAUGUUUAGUCCUUCUAAUUAGUCUCCAAAGAUUCGAUGGGACAUGAAUCACCCUUAGAUCAUCAUGAGCUAUGCUUGAUCGGAACAAUUCACUUCUAGGCAACAGAGUUGAUUGCCGGAUAAUUACCAAAAUCCCGACAUGACAACCUAAUCGCAGGCCCAUAAACCUCGUUAACAAAUUCAAAACUACCAACAUAACGGUGCUGAUGGCAGCACAAUCUGACGGAAGGCACGCAUUGCCCUCCUUCUUCUUCCUCCCUCCUUGAGAUCAGCACCCAUCCACUGAUCCACCUGCAUCCCACUCGCGCGCGCGGCCCGAAGCAUCCGUCUAGCAAAAAAGCUGUCAAGCCACAGCUCUUUCCUGACACACAUGUCGCUCACCCUCCUCACCCUCCUACUACUCAUUGCAAUCCCACCCGCAACCUCGGCUACGCAGCCGGCGUCGAACUCCUCCGCCGAUGUCCUCCUCUCCUUCCUCGCCGCCCUCCCACCAGCGGCCCAGCGCCUCCUCCUCCCGUCGUGGAACACCGCCGCCUCUGGCAACGGCAACUCGACCGCGGCUGGCCCCCAUUGCGCGUUUCUUGGCGUCACCUGCUCGGCGGCCGGCGCCGUGGCCGCGCUCAACCUCUCCGGGGCGGGGCUCUCCGGGGACCUCGCGGCCUCCGCGCCGCAGCUCUGCUCGCUCCCGGAGCUCGCCGCGCUCGACCUGAGCGGCAACAACUUCACCGGCGCCAUCCCUCUCGAGCUCGCGGCGUGCUCCGCGCUGUCCGCGCUUCUCCUCGGCCGCAACGGGCUCUCGGGCGCCCUACCACCGGAGCUGCUCUCCUCGCGCCAGCUCAAAAAUAUCGACCUCAACUCUAACGCCCUCACCGGAGAGAUCCCAGCGCCCUCCGCCGGUGGCUUCUCGCUUCUGCAGUACCUCGACCUCAGCAACAACAACUUCUCCGGCGCCAUCCCUCUCGAGCUCGCCGCGCUUCCAGCCCUCAGCUAUUUGGACCUGAGCACGAACAAACUCUCCGGACCAAUGCCGGAUUUCCCGGUGCAUUGCGUGCUCAAAUUUCUCAACGUCGACAGCAACAAGAUUGAUGGCAAGCUUCCGCGCAGCCUCGGCAACUGCGGCAACCUGACCAGAUUGUAUCUAUCCAACAACAAGAUUUCAGGCUCCGUUCCCGAUUUUUUCGCGUCCAUGCCAGGCCUGGAAAAGCUGUUCCUCAGCAACAAUUCCUUCACCGGCGAGUUCCCGGCAAGCAUUGGUGAGCUUGUCAAUUUGGAGAAGCUGAUGGUAUCGGCAAAUGGGUUCACCGGGCCUGUCCCUGAGUCGAUUGGAAAGUGCCAUUCACUGACAAUGCUUUGGAUGCAUUCCAACCGGUUCACCGGAUCAAUUCCGGCAGCGAUAGGCAAUCUCGUCAGCUUACAGUGGUUCACUAUCAAGGACAAUUUAAUCACUGGCACAAUCCCACCGGAAAUAGGAAAAUGUCAGGAAUUGACCUGGCUUGAACUCCACAACAAUAGCCUUUCCGGGGUUAUACCACCAGAGAUCACCCAGCUUACAAAGCUACAAGUGCUGUCCCUGUUUGGCAACAGGCUACACGGGCAGGUGCCUGCCGCAUUGUGGCAAAUGCCUUACAUGGAGGAGCUGGCGCUCUCGUACAACAACCUGACUGGAGAGGUGCCUGCAGAAAUUACUCUUAUGAGGAAUCUGAGGGAGCUCAUCUUGGCAUAUAACAACUUCACCGGUGAGAUCCCGCAAGCCCUGGGAUUGAACACAACACAAGGACUUCAGCGGAUUGACCUCACUGGUAACCGCUUCCGUGGUGAAAUCCCGCCUGGUCUCUGCACCGGAGGACGGCUCGCCGUUCUUGAUCUUGGGCACAACCAAUUUACUGGGGCUAUUCCCAGUGAGAUUUGGAAGUGCCGGUCUCUCUGGAGGGUAAUUCUAGGGAACAAUCUAUUCAGCGGGAGCUUAUUACCUUCAGAUUUGGGGACAAACACAGGGUGGUCAUUUGUAGAAUUGAGUGGCAAUCUUUUUGAAGGGAGGGUACCAAGUGUGUUUGGUUCAUGGCGCAACCUCACGGUGCUUGAUCUAUCUAGCAACAAAUUCUCUGGUCCAAUCCCACGUGAGCUCGGUGCUCUAAGCAUUCUUGGGAAUCUGAACUUGUCGUCGAACAUGCUGUCUGGACCAAUACCACAUGAGUUGGGAAAUUGCAAAAGGCUUGUCCGUUUGGAUCUUCAAUUCAACUAUCUCAAUGGAAGCAUAUCUUCAGAGAUCAUAGCACAUGAUAGUCUACAAACUCUUAUGCUUUCUGGAAACAAGCUCACUGGAAAGAUCCCAGACGUCUUCACUGGGACGCAGGGCCUUCUUGAGUUGCAUCUUGGUGCCAAUUCUUUGGAAGGACCCAUCCCUGAAAGCUUAGGUAAACUUCAGUUCAUCUCCAAAAUUAUAAACAUUAGCAACAAUAGAUUGAGCAACGAAAUCCCAAGUAGCCUCGGCAACCUUCAGAUGCUGGAAAUGCUUGACUUGUCAAAGAAUUCUUUGUCUGGUCCGAUUCCAUCACAGCUGAGCAACAUGAUGGCACUUUCUUUUGUGAAUGUGUCGUUCAAUGAGCUCUCUGGUCAGCUUCCUGCUGGUUGGGUUAAGCUCGUGGAACGAUCACCUGAAGGGUUUCUGGGGAAUCCCCAAUUGUGCAUACAGUCUAACAACGCACCUUGCUCCCGGAACCAAUCUGCGAAACGUAUAAGGAAGAAUACACGGAUAAUUGUAGCACUGCUAGUGUCAGCUCUCGCUAUCAUGGCUGCUGGGCUGUUUCUUGUUCACUAUAUGGUGAAGAGGUCACAGCGCCAAUUGGCGAAACAUGUCUCAGUGCGUGGCCUGGACACGACAGAGGAAUUACCCAAAGACAUAACCUUUGAUGACAUCCUUCGUGCCACCGACAACUGGAGUGAGAAGUAUGUGAUUGGAAGAGGCCGGCAUGGCACUGUCUACCGGACAGAGUUUGCUCCUGGAAGGCAGUGGGCAGUCAAGACAGUUGAUCUGUCCCAGUUCAAAUUCCCCGUUGAGAUGAAGAUUCUUAACAUGGUAAAGCACCGGAACAUCGUCAAGAUGGAGGGUUACUGCAUCCGUGGAAACUUUGGCAUAAUUCUCUCCGAAUACAUGCCUCAGGGAACACUGUUCGAGCUAUUGCAUGGAAGGAAACUUCAAGUGGCCCUUGACUGGAAUGUCCGACAUCAGAUCGCCCUUGGUACAGCGCAGGGUUUAUCCUAUCUUCACCAUGAUUGUGUGCCAAUGAUUGUUCAUAGGGAUGUCAAGUCAAGCAACAUACUGAUGGAUGCCGAUUUGGUACCUAAGAUCACAGAUUUUGGCAUGGGGAAAAUCAUAGAUGAUGAUGAUGCUGAUGCAACAGUGUCUGUUGUCGUUGGCACCCUCGGCUACAUUGCUCCAGGUAACAUUCCUUCAUUCAAAUUCACAUUCCAACAUCACAUUUUCUUAAGUUAACAUGUGUUUUCAUUUAUUCCCAGAGCACGGAUACAACACGAGAUUGACUGAGAAGAGUGAUGUCUACAGUUAUGGUGUGGUGCUACUGGAACUUAUGUGCAGGAAGAUGCCUGUGGAUCCUGCAUUUGGUGACGGUGUGGACAUUGUGGCAUGGAUGACAUCGAAGCUGAAGUCUGCAGAUCACUGCAGCCUGAUGAACUAUUUGGAUGAGGAGAUCAUGUACUGGCCCGGAGAUGAGCAGGCAAAGGCACUGGACUUGCUAGAUCUGGCAAUGUCCUGCACGCAGGUAUCUUUCCAGUCUAGGCCAUCCAUGAGGGAGGUGGUGAGCACCCUGAUGAGAAUAGAAGAUGAAUACAUAACAAAUGAAUAGAUGUUCUGAAUAUAGUUCUUUGAGAUCAAGUGCCUUUAAAUAAUGAAUACAGAUACACAAGCGAAAGGGAAACCACAGUUGUACAGUUUGUUUCAAGGUGCUGUAAUUAUUUCUUGAAUAUUGAGUAAGACAUUGACAAACUUGCCCCAGAAACUGUAAUGACAAGGCUUGCAGAAUAAAUUAUUUUGAUUGUAUGCUUGAGCUAUCACUAUUAAUGUUCUUUCCCUUCGUUAGUUACCCUGCAAUUGUGUUUAUUGUUCUUCCUUUAGCGUCAGGAUCUCGGCCAGGACAAGGUAAGAAUAGGACACUGACAAUGGAAAUUUCCAAGUUGGAGCAGGAGAUUGAUCAGCUUGCUCUUCCAUUCAAGUUAUCAAUUUUCAGCCCACAUGCAUAUAUGGUAAUAUUUGCUAUCAUAAAAAGGCUAUGCGGUGUUUUUGUGCUUCUGAUUCUCUGGAGCAACUUUUAAUUUUUUGCACAUGCAGUUUUGUGUUUGUGUUCUUUUCCCCUAAACGACAGUACUAUAAUAUUUUCACAUACCAUUGAACAUGUUAAUAGUGCAAUGCAGUCAUAACUUGAAUAGGAAUGCUUCUCAACUUUUCUUGCAUUCCGAUCGACUCUACUAAUUAGCCGGCAAGCACUUAUCUUUUGUUAGGAUGAACUUAGGAUGCAUGUAGGUAUCCAAUGGGUUUUUUUAGCUCAGCUAAUUAAUUACAUUAACAUGUCAUUUUAGUUCAUUUAUUUCCCUAGAUUAAUUAUAUGGCAUACCAUUGAAGUUCGUUUUAGAAAAUUUUAGAUCAACUAAAUGAUCCAAAAAAAUUGAACUUGCAUAUCUGGAUGAACUUAGAUCUCCCCAAAUACACAAUAUUGCAACUAGCGAUGACCAAGGUACUCUGCCAUCCAUAAUAAAAACUCCUAAACUGCCCUCCUGCAGCACCCUGGCGAAGGAACUAAGUUAUGCAGGAUGGUGGAGGUCGCUGUACUGUAAAAUUCACCAUAGAGAAUUGUUUCCAAUGUGCUACGAGUAUUGGUAAUCUUUCUGGAAGCACUCGUGGUUAUCAAGUCACCACUUCCUGCUUCACCUCGUGCACAAAUCGUACUAUCUUCUUGUUGGUCAAAUUUGUUGAGGGAAAUCUGACACAUGUCAAAUACCAAUGAACACAAGGAUUGAACCCAUCUAAAGCUUUCACAAAAGUUGGUAUCGUGCUCCAUUGUAAGAUUAUUUUGUAUUUUUUUGUAAGGACGUGGUGGUGCAUGUCUAUGACUCAGUUUUUUUAUAAUGCCUAUGACUCGGUUGGGCUUUCAUUAAGAAAUGACUCUACAUACUAGCUCAUCAUAAGUGCUUUGGUGUGGUUGAAAUAACCUUUUUUGAUGAGGCAUGCUAGCCAAACACUAGAACAAGAACAGUUAUCCAAAUAACUGACCUGGUGUUUCCUUGAACAUCGAAAGUCUUAAUAAUAGGUUGCGGCACAAACCCGCCAAACAUUCCGAGCAUCCCCUGAUCCCCCACUCGUGCAGCUCGGCAGGGUCCACACUCCCACUCGCCGAUGUCGCCGCCACCACCACAGCCGCCGCCAUGGCCAUCGCUCUCUCUGUCUCUCCCUCUCCUCACCCACCCUCUUCAAAGCGCCGCACGCCAAAGAAAGGAGCCUGCACCCUCCUCCCGCACCAAAUUCAACAAGGCAGCACAGUACGGCUCCCUCCCGCCAUGUCUCGUUCCGCUGCCUUUUUCCUCCUUGUAACGCUCGCCGUCGCCGCCUCCAAUGCGACGCCGUCGGAGGCAUCGUCCGCGAGCGCCAGUGAAGCGUCCGUCCUGCAUGCCUUCUUCGCCUCCUUGCCACCCGCCUCCCGGCGCGUCCUCCGCCCGUCGUGGAAGGCCACCAACGUCACCACCAGCAGGGGCCGCGGCGGCACCCCAAGCCACUGCGCGUUCCUCGGCGUGCAGUGCUCCGCUGCCGGCGCCGUCGCUGCAGUAAACCUCUCAGGGGCGGGGCUGUCCGGCGCGCUCGCGGUGUCAGCGCCCCGGCUCUGCGCGCUCCCGGCGCUCGCCGAGCUCGACCUCAGCCGGAACCGGUUCACGGGCCCCGUCCCCGCCGCGCUCGCCGCGUGCUCCAGGGUCGCCGCGCUCCACCUCGGCUGGAACAACCUCACCGGCGCGGUCCCGCCGGAGCUCCUCUCCUCCAGCCGGCUCCGGAAGAUCGACCUCAGCUACAACUCGCUCACCGGGGACAUUGCGGCCGCGCCCUCGGGCUCGCCGGUCCUCGAGUACGUUGACCUCAGCGUCAAUGCCCUCUCCGGCGUCAUACCGCCAGAGCUCACCGCGCUCCCGGCGCUUAGCUACCUAGACCUGAGCUGCAACAAUCUGUCCGGGCCAAUGCCAGAGUUCCCCGCGCGGUGCCGCCUCGUGUACCUCAGCCUCUACACCAACCAGCUCGCCGGCGAGCUUCCCCAGAGCCUCGCCAACUGCGGCAACCUCACCACCUUCUACCUAUCCUACAAUGGGAUUGGCGGCAAGGUGCCGGAUUUCUUCGCAUCCUUGCAGAAUUUGCAGGUGCUUUACCUUGACGACAACAAAUUCGUGGGGGAGCUGCCAGAGAGCAUAGGUGAGCUUGAGAGUUUGGAAGAAUUGGCGGUGUCGAAUAACGGGUUCACAGGCACUGUACCAGAUUCAAUUGGGAAGUGUCAGUCACUGACGAUGCUCUAUUUGGACGGCAACAAUUUCACCGGCUCAAUUCCGGUGUUCAUAAGCAAUUUUAGCAGAUUACAGAUGUUCUCUGUGGCUCACAAUGGAAUUUCUGGAAGAAUUCCACCAGAAAUUGGAAACUGCCAGGAGUUGGUUGAGCUCAAGCUCCAGAACAACAGCCUCUCCGGGACAAUACCACCAGAGAUUGGCAAGCUAAGCCAACUGCAGGGGCUUUAUCUCUACAAGAAUAACCUUAGCGGCGAGAUGCCCACAGAGAUCACUCAACUGAGGAAGCUAAGAGAGAUCUCCUUGUUCAGCAAUAACUUCACCGGCGUGCUGCCACAGGCCCUGGGGUUGAACACGACACCUGGACUAGCUCAGGUCGACCUCACUGGCAACCGCUUUCAUGGGAAAAUUCCCCCCGGUCUUUGUACUGGAGGCCAGCUCAGCAUUCUUGACCUUGGAGACAAUCAGUUCAAUGGAAGCUUCCCCAUUGAAAUUGUUGAAUGUGAGUCUCUCUGGAGGUUCAUUCUGAAGAACAACCAGAUCAGUGGGAACAUACCUGCAAAUUUGGGCACAAACAGAGGACUGUCAUACAUGGACAUUAGUGGCAAUCUGCUCAAAGGUAUGAUACCGGGUGUGAUUGGUUCAUGGCACAAUCUAACAAUGCUUGAUUUCUCCAAUAACCACUUCUCAGGACCAAUACCCCAUGAGUUUGGUGCUUUAAGCAAGCUUGAGACUCUGCGCAUGUCAUCAAACAGGCUUACAGGACCGAUACCACGUGAAUUAGGUUAUUGCAAGGAUCUUCUCCGUUUGGAUCUUGGGAAUAACCUGCUCAGUGGAAGUAUACCUGCAGAAAUCACAACACUUGGUAGCCUGCAAAACCUUCUACUUGGCAAAAACAACCUCACUGAAACAAUACCUGACUCCUUCACUGCAACACAGGAUCUAAUUGAGCUUCAGCUUGGUGAAAACUGUUUGGAAGGAGCAAUUCCUAUUAGCCUAGGCAAACUUCAGUACCUGUCCAAAGCUCUUAAUAUUAGCCACAACAGAUUGACCAGACAAAUUCCAAGUAGCCUAGGCAAACUUCAAGAUCUGGAAGUGCUUGACUUGUCAAAGAACUCAUUGUCCGGCUCAAUCCCAUCUCAACUGAGCAAUAUGGUUUCACUUUUGGUAGUGAACAUUUCAUUCAAUGAGCUCUCUGGUCAGCUCCCUGGUAGCUGGGCUAAGCUUGCAGAAAAGUCACCUGAUGGCUUUUUGGGCAAUCCUCAAUUGUGCUUAGAGUCAGAUUGUGUGCAUCGCUUCAGGAAUCAACCUGAGAAAUUACAAUACAGGAACAGAAGCAUUAUUCUGGCAUUGCUAAUGUCGACACUUGCUGUCAUGGGUGGUGUCUUGUGUGUUGUUUACUACAUUGUGAAGAGAUCGCAGCGCUUAUCAGCAAGUCGUGGUUCUGCCCGUAGCCUGGACACAACAGAGGAAUUGCCAGAAGACCUGACCUAUGAAGAUAUCCUUCGGGCAACAGACAACUGGAGUGAGAAAUAUGUCAUUGGAAGAGGCCGGCAUGGCACAGUCUACCGGACAGAGUGUAAGCUUGGAAAGCAGUGGGCUGUAAAGACCGUUGAUCUAUCCCAAUACAAGUUCCCCAUUGAGAUGAAGAUCCUGAACACAGUGAAGCACCGGAACAUCAUCAGGAUGGAUGGCUACUGCAUCCGUGGAAGUGUUGGCCUUAUCUUAUGUGAAUAUAUGCCUAAGGGGACACUCUUUGACCUAUUGCAUCAAAGGAAGCCUCAAGUGGCCCUUGACUGGAUGAUCCGGCAUCAGAUUGCCCUUGGUGUAGCACAAGGCCUUUCAUAUCUGCACCAUGACUGUGUACCCAUGAUUGUUCAUAGGGAUGUUAAAUCAAGCAACAUACUAAUGGAUACUGAGCUAGUCCCCAAGCUCACAGACUUUGGCAUGGGAAAAAUUGUCCAUGAUGAAGAUGCCAAUGCAACAGUGUCUGCUGUCAUUGGUACCCUUGGCUACAUUGCUCCAGGUACCUUCUUUAAAUUUAUAUUUGUUUCAUCACAUCACCGUGGCUCCUUAGCUUCAGGGUUAACAUGUUCAUAUUAUUUACCCAGAGCAUGGAUACUCUACAAGAUUAACUGAGAAGAGCGAUGUCUACAGCUACGGAGUAGUGCUACUUGAGCUCCUAUGCAGGAAGAUGCCUGUGGAUCCUUCGUUCGAAGAUGGUGUGGACAUUGCAACAUGGAUUAGAACAAAACUGAAGCAAGCAGAUCGCUGCAGCAUCAUAGAUCUCAUGGAUGAGGAGAUCAUGUAUUGGCCUGAAGAUGACCAAGAAAAGGCUCUGGACUUACUAGAUCUUGCGGUUUCAUGCACGCAGGUGGCUUGCCAGUCUAGGCCUUCCAUGAGAGAGGUGGUGAAUAUGUUGUUGAAAAUAGAAAAAUGAGAAUAUGGAGAAGUUUCCAGCAGUGUUAUGGCAUGGCUUGUCUUUUGAUGGAAUUGUACAGUUCAGAAAGUUUUCACCAGCGAGAAAAAGUGGACCAAAGUUACGGUAACUGGUCAUUCAAAAAUCAAAGUUUUGCAGCAUUCCACUGUUUGCAAGAGUAGCAACUUAAAGUUGGAAACUUUCUUGCUGGCAAAAAAGUUCUAUUAGUCAUUAAAGAAGAAAGUUCGUAACAUGUGCUCGAACAUAUAGCGGCAUAAAGAAAAUUAUGUAUAUAUUUGUGUAAAAGAUAUAGUUCAUAAUUGGUAUAAUGGUGGUUCUGUCCUUGUGGUUCUCUACUGUGAUGUUUUAUUUUUAAACGAGUUAACGUUACAGCACUUUGUUCCUGAUCCUUUCCACCUCAGCAGUAUAAUGUUGUCAUGAUAUGAACUAUUUACUUUUCAGACGUAUGUUCAGUCCCAAGCACUACUCUGUGUCUCUGUCUACAGGAACCAGAGCUAACACCUCACUCUACUGGCAUUUUUUCUGACUGGUUGACAAAUUAAACUAUUGUAGCAGUCCUAUCGUCCUAAUUAAGAUGAAAGGUUCCAUUCUCACUAUGACAUGUUGGAGCAUUUUGAAAAUCGAAACUACUGUUUUUUCUCUUCAGAGUGUGAGUAAACUCGGUUUGGACAAUGUCACUAUGAUCAGCUCCUUAAAAGUAAUGUUCUGUAAUAUAAUUUGUUCUUAUUUUUAUUAAUCUUGUUCAGUUUGUUUCUCUAUUGCAUUCUGCUUAUCUGAGUUGCAGUCUAGAAGGCCGAAGAAAAAUUAAACAAAUCUUCAGUUGCUAACAGGCAAAAAAUAUAGGCAGAGAUAGUACCACCUAAUAUGCAAAAUUAUUCAUUAUAGAUUCACUUACCAAAUUAAAGUUUGGAAACUUACUGAAAUGAAGAUGCACCCUCUCCUUCGGUUAGCACUCCUUACCGACGGUGAGAGACUUUCUUUCUGACGUGAAUCUACUUUAACGGAGCUGAAAGGCUACUUUAACGGAGUGAGGAGCAAGCACGGAGCGCGGCGCGCGUGAAGUGGCUGGGGAUAGGUAGCCCGUGGUUCGCGGGUGUUGG
This 11150-nucleotide long non-coding RNA is filed under the name Setaria italica (foxtail millet). Its description in RNAcentral is "long non-coding RNA (SITA_LNC006903)". Lineage: Eukaryota; Viridiplantae; Streptophyta; Magnoliopsida; Poales; Poaceae. The record is from RNAcentral.